This 262-nucleotide ribosomal RNA is filed under the name uncultured bacterium. RNAcentral's name for it is "partial 16S ribosomal RNA". It matches the Rfam family "Bacterial small subunit ribosomal RNA", at positions 92 to 354 of the family's 1533-position model. The record is from RNAcentral.
CGACCGGCGCACGGGUGCGUAACGCGUAUGCAACCUACCUGUAACAGGGGGAUAACACUGAGAAAUCGGUACUAAUACCGCAUAACACUAUGAGAGGCAUCUCUUGUGGUUGAAAGUUUCGGCGGUUACAGAUGGGCAUGCGUUGUAUUAGCUGGUUGGUAAGGUAACGGCUUACCAAGGCGACGAUACAUAGGGGGACUGAGAGGUUAACCCCCCCACAUUGGUGCUGAGACACGGACCAAACUCCUACGGAAGGCAGCAG